UACGUAGGGGGCAAGCGUUGUCCGGAUUUAUUGGGCGUAAAGAGCGUGUAGGCGGCUUUACAGGUCCGUUGUGAAAACUCGAGGCUCAACCUCGAGACGCCGGUGGAAACCGUAAAGCUAGAGUCCGGAAGAGGAGAGUGGAAUUCCUGGUGUAGCGGUGAAAUGCGCAGAUAUCAGGAGGAACACCCGUGGCGAAAGCGGCUCUCUGGGACGGUACUGACGCUGAGACGCGAAAGCGUGGGGAGCAAACAGA
RNAcentral lists this ribosomal RNA (253 nucleotides) under uncultured bacterium. RNAcentral's name for it is "partial 16S ribosomal RNA". It matches the Rfam family "Bacterial small subunit ribosomal RNA", at positions 524 to 776 of the family's 1533-position model. The record is from RNAcentral.